Molecule: long non-coding RNA, 6734 nt
Organism: Vespula vulgaris
Lineage: Eukaryota; Metazoa; Arthropoda; Insecta; Hymenoptera; Vespidae
Exons: 9
Source: RefSeq, a predicted model, not a curated record
GCGUCGCAACCGAGCUUCGUCCUCCCGUUAAUUGCAGUUAAUUAGAAUAUUUUAUCUAACGUACAUCCUGAUUUUAUAUACCGAUCGAAUGCCGAAAAAGCGAUUUUCGCGGGUGAAUUUAUUAACAUCGAUUACGCUCAACUGCGAAAUAUAACAUUCUACUGCGUUCCUUAACCUAACAACCAUACAAGCCAUCGUUAUUUUCGAUUAUAGAAUGGAAGGGGUACGACGUCUGGAUUUUCGUCAUCAAUUUUACUUAUUUACAAUAAUAAAUGGUGUUCGACACACAACGACGACUGAAUGGGAGAGGUACGACGUCUGGAUUUUCGUCUUUAAUUUUACUUAUUUACAAUAAUAAAUGGUGUUCGACACACAACGACGACUGAUCGAAACAACAAGCACGUGGGGAAGCCAUUGCAAAGCUGAUGUAAUGCACAUGCGCGACGAUACACAGCUUCCUUGUUGCCGCUUAAUCCGCCAUUCUGAAUUAGUUCGUGGCGUGUGUCGCAAGCCAGCUUCGUCCUCUCGUUGACUGCAGGACCUAAAUUCUGUGAAUUUGUUCGUCAGCGUUAACAACACAGUAUGGCCCGUUUUCCUAGAAAGAAGCAAGAUGGAUUCGGCUAGAGUUCAACAAAGUAGACGUCUUCCGUUUAAGUUUAUACAUUCAUUCUUCGAUUAAGCAGUGUUCUUUCAGCGAAACUUCUUUUAGUAAUUUGCCGUCAGAGUAUAUUUUUUGUUCGAUUGUACAUUUUUUGGGAAGUGCGUUUUAUAUACGUGGAAUAGUUGAUAAUUCGGAGUUCAUUCAAAUUGAAUAACGUUGAUGUAACAUUAUUUCUUUAAUUUUACAUUAGUGGAUUUUAUAUAGAUUCUUUCAACCUUCAUCGUCGUCAUGUGAUUAAUAAUCGACAUCAUCAGGAUAGGGAGGAGUUUUGCACGGUCGUCACCGCGCAGUUGAAUCUUUCUAGACGCAACCCACUUUUUAUCGAGCACGUGUUUAUGGUCGAGAUUUGUCUCGUACCAUUUUCUGUGCAUUUACGCUGGUUGCUCUGCCCUCGUCCAGCAUUAUAAAAUAACCGAGGACAUUCUACUCUCCUCCUUAUUUUUUAGACCUGCUUUAGAUGUCGUUAAUUGAUCUCACGUCGAGGACGAUCGAUGGGAAAAUCUAUGUACGCGAACGCGCUUAAUCUACAUUAUUUUAACGAGUCGUCUCGUCCGUCUUGGAAUAUCACUGCGAAAUAAAAAUUGUAGACUUUUCGUCGAUAGUACAUGACAGAACGAAUACUGCUUAAAUCACGGAGUGGAUGUAUCAUUCGACGGAUCGUUUCCUGAUUACUGUAAUGCGGUUGACAGUUCUUUAGCCAUCGAAAUGUUACAAGCACGUGGGGAAGCCAUUGCAAAGGUGACGUAAUGCGCAAGCGCGGCGGUCCACAGCCCCCUUGCUGCCUCAGAAUCCAUCAUUUUGAAUAAUUAUUGGCACGUGUUACGACCAAGCUUUUUUCUCUCGUUGAUUGCAGAAUGGAAGAGGUAGGACGUCCAGAUUUUCGUCAUCAAUUUUACUUAUUUACGAUAGUAAAUGGUGUUCGACACACAACAACGACUGGAUGUAGACGUGAUUUCUUUCGUUAUUGUUGACAUUACAUCGUGGCUAAUUUUCUUAAAAAUAAGCAAGAUGAAUUUAGUUACAUUCAAACAGAAUUGACAUCUUGACAGUACGAACGCUACUUAAAUCGUGGAAGGAAGCGUUCCUUGAUCUAACAACCAGCUAAGGAAUCAUUAUUUUCGAUGAUAGAAAGAAAGAAGUAUGAAGUUCAAAAUUUUCGUCAUCAGUUUUACUUAUCUAUGAUAAGCAAUGGUAUUGGACACAGGACGACAACUGAUAAGCAAUAGUUGACAUAUAUUAUUAUUUAUUUUCACGUUACCCUUUACGAUAACGUUUAGCUAAUUCUACAUUUAUUUUUUCAGGGUAUAGGCAUUGCGAUUUCGUCCGUUAUUGUUAACAAUGCAUCGUGGCCCGUGUUCCUUGAAAUAAGCAUGGUGAAUUUAGUUACAGUCGAACAGAAUUGACAUCUGUUUACACAUUCAUUCUUCGAUUAAACAGUGUUCUGUUAACGAUACUUCUACAUCGGAGUAUAUUUUUCUUCCGAUUACAUUUUUCAUUUAAUAUACAUCGAGUAGCUGAUAAUUCAAAGUUUAUUCAAGUUGGAUAACGUUAUCGUAACUUCAUUCCUUUAAUCGAUGAAAAAAUCUAUGUAAGCGAACGCGUCUUAAAUAACACUAUUUCAACGAAUCAUAUGGUCUCUCUUGAAAUAUCGCUGCGAAAUAGAAACGAUAGGCUUUUCGUCGAUAGUAUACGACAGAACGAACACUGCUUAAAUCGAAAUAUAUGUGUUAAUUGGGUCGUGGAUUCCCGGAUAGCAGUUCCCAAGUAUCACGCUCGUUAGAGCAAGAUGGUUCUUUAUUCUCUUGUCUGAUGAGGAAUACUUAACAUUUUGAUAUUUUUAUUAUAACACUAUUUUUAUUAACUUUGUUAAUUUUUUUUUUUUUUUUCUUUUAGGAAGCCUAUGUUGCAAUUUCGUUCUACUGUUUGAAUACGGAUAAAAGAACAAUUCAACGCUCUAGUUGGAAAUGGUCUUUGUAAAAUUGCGACUCAUGGAAAGCCUCCUUCCUCUAGGAUCUAUCAUGAAUGUGAAGAUGAGAAAGGAAAGGAAAGGAGCCAGGAAGAUGCGAUGGAAGCAAUAACGAAGGAUGGAACCUUGAAGAAUCUUCCAUUGGGUUAAAAUCAGCAGGAAAACAACGCUUCCUUCAUUUUACCGAACCGAAAGAAGACUCGCCUCUCCUUCGUGCGUAUUGCUUCUUUAAAUCUGCUUAAGCUCCAACGUUCUACGUAAUUCUCGGCGAUUUUGCGCACCCCUAAGCGUUUCUGCGUGACACCCUAAGCGAUCCUGCGAUACCCUAAGCGUUUCUGCGAUACCCUGAGCGUUUCUGCGAUACCCUGAGCAUUUCUGCGAUACCCUGAGCGUUUCUGCGAUACCCUGAGCGUUUCUGCGACACCCUCAGCGUUUCUGCGACACCCUCAGCGUUUCUGCGACACCCUCAGCGUACCUGCGCAAUCCCUAACGUCGUAUUCUGUUCAAUUCUCAGCGUUUUGCGUAACCACCAGCAUUUCAAACGAUUCCUCUGCUUUAGUCUUGCGCAUAAUUGCGAUGUUUUACGAAAAAUUACAAGACAGAAACAAAUUUGUUAAAAUCAUUGUUAUAAUAUUGUUGGAGUUUAUAGAGCGUUGAAAAAAAGAAACUUCAAUUGGAAGGUAGUACAUCAGUUGAUUUUUUUUUUCCGGAAUGUUAACAUAAAAUUGUUUUAUACUUCACAAGAUAUUACGUGCGGUGCAACGUUUAAGCGGUUGUAUUAUUGUUUAAAUCUUAUUUUAUAUCGACCAAUCGUAUAUUAUAGAUUCUUUAAAUAAUUGUAAAGUGAUAGAAAGCAUACAUAAAUUUGAUGCGUUAAGAGAAUUUUAGACCACCGUCGGGCGUAUCGAAAAUCGUCGUCCAGUAUUUAUCCGUAACAACAAACAUCUUUUUAGACAAUUCUUAGGAUAUCGCGUGACCCCAGCUUCGCGAAUAAUUGAAAUGCUCAUAUACUAAAAAAGAAAAAAUAUUAUUUUUAUCAUUGUAAUAAGAAAGCGUCGAAAAAAAAGAAGCUUAAAUAGAAGGCAGUAUGUAAGCAGAUUUCUGUUCUGCGAAACGUUCGAUUAAAAUUAUUUUCUACGUACUACGUGCGGUAUAAAGCUUGAGCGGCGGGGUUGUAUUUUGUAAAUAUUAGUUUGAUACUACCGAGCGUACAUAUGUAGCGUACAUUGCUUAAAUGAUUGUAAAACGACAAAAAAUAAAAAUGAUCUAGGUUUAGCGCGGUUCAACGCGGUCCAACGCGUGUACCGGAAAUUUUAGGGCAUGGUAGAGCGUUUCAACUACCGUGAAUCCAUUCGUGCGUAAUUAAGCGUGUUGCGUAAUUCCGAACAGAUUGGCGUAACCCUUAGAAAUAUUGCGUAAACCCCUAACCCUUAUUUAGGUAAAUUCUCUGGCUCUGCCAGACGCAACCCAGCGAUUUCGCCCACUACGUGGUUUGGUUGUAAGUAUCCAUUUGGCAAGUUAUGGUUUUUUACACGUAAGUCCUGUCGAUGUUUCGCAACGUCCAACGUGGACACCCAGAGUUUUGUCUUUUUCAGGUUAUGUGCAACCUCGGAGUUAUUUAUUUACCUACAUACUAUCGAGAUUACUGAAGCGAUGGUAUUUUUUUUUGCAUAAUGUUAAGGGCAUUGCGUCGUUUUGAACGAAUGCGCGUAAUCAGCAGGUUUUUUUUUUUAUGAAGCCCACCGUAUCUAUAUAAUCCUUACAGAUUUUGUGUAAACCUUGGCGUGUAUUCAGCCGAACUUCUGUGGUCUAACUUCGGCGUAAUCCAGACGCGACCCAAUGAUUUGCAGUAAGUAUUUUUCUCACUUAAUGCCUUUAUGUUCGUUCCGUAAUUCUACGCGUGUUGCGUAAAUUGCAUAGUAUCUGCAACCCGCAGCUCAUUUUCUUGAUACCAGCGAAGUUAUUUAAACUGCGGCAUUUUUUUUUUUUCAUAGUUCGGGAUGUUUUCGUUUCAUCCGAAGAAUCCGCGUUUUUAUAUAGCCUAACGUCUCUGUGUGAACCGUGGAGUGUAUUUAGCUUCAUUUUAGCGUGUCUACUUAACUCUAACGUUUCCACAUUAUCACUUGGUUAUCGACCGUAUUUUUUUUUUUUACGUGAUUUCUAUUCGUCGCGUAAUUCGCGUAUAUUGUAAUUUGGAGGGUAUUUAGAACCCUAGCUUAUUUUCCAUGAUACUUGAUGGGUUACUUACCCGACAGAAUAUUUGCAUAGUCCCAGGGGUACUCCUUUCGAUGAAUCGUUGGAAUGUCUAACUUUUUUUUUACAACGCCAAGCGAUUUUGCGAAACGUUUGCACGAUAUGAAAGCCCUAGUGUAACGUAUUGUUACAUAACGAUCCCGAGAUUUGUCGAAAGUACUUCUAAUUUUUCUUUUUUCAUAAUCCUUGUCGGGGGUUCUUCUUUUUGACAUUCUUAACAGCUGCGUUAUUCAUAGAAUACUCUAAGCAGCUUAUUUUCGUAGAUACUAGCUAGGUUACUGAAACGACAGCAUUUUUUCUUUUUUCUUUUUUUUUUUUGCAUAAUCUGUGGGGCACUCGCGUUAUUUCCGACGAAUCUGCGUAAAUACUAGGGUUUUCAGGAAAUGCAGCGUUUCUGUGUAAUCCUUGUAGAUUUGGCGUCGGUAAUAGGGCGUAUUUAGGUGGCCUCCGAGAAUGCGGUGUAACCCGAUUGUUUCCGCAUUACCACCCUGUGAUUUCGCGUAAGUACUUGCCUUUGUACGUAAUACUUGUGUAAAUUCCUGUCGGUUUUCGAUAACUCGUAGAUGACCGUGUAGUUCCGUGUAUUUACAACUGUCGGCUUAUUAAUCGAAGAUAUUACCGAGGUUAUAUGAUCGACUGCAUUUUUUUUUGCAUAAUCUGUGGGGCACUCGCGUUAUUUCCGACGAAUCUGCGUAAAUACUAGGGUUUUCAGGAAAUGCAGUGUUUCUGUGUAAUCCUUGUAGAUUUGGCGUCGGUAAUAGGGCGUAUUUAGGUAGCCUCCGAGAAUGAGGCGUAAUAGGAUUGUUUCCGCAUUACCACCCUGUGAUUUCGCGUAAGUACUUGCCUUUGUACGUAAUACUUGUGUAAAUUCCUGUCGGUUUUCGAUACUCGUAGAUGACCGUGUAGUUCCCGUGUAUUUACAAGUGUCGGCUUAUUAAUCGAAGAUAUUACCGAGGUUAUUUAAUCGACUGCAUUUUUUUUUGCAUGAUCCGCGGGGCACUCGUUAUAUCUGACGAAUUUGCGUAACUACUAGCAUUUUCAUAAAGUCCGGCAUUUCUGCGUAACUUACAGAUUUUACAAAAAUCUAAGUACGCAAUCUACAGAGUGGGACAUAACCCCACUGUCUUCGCUUUACCAUCCGGUGAUUAGAAGUAUUUGUCCGUUUUCUUUUUAGGUAAUCUCUCGGUUUUUCAAUAAUUCCUAACGUACCGACGUAGUUCCUAGGUUUAUCAGCAAUACCCAGGUUAUUUUCUUAGAUACUAGCAAGGUUACUUAAACGACAUUUUUGGCCUCCGAGCUUUCUCCGUAAUCUCAUUUUUUUCCGCAUAACCAUCUCGUGAUUUCGCUCAAGUAUAUUGUUUUUCCGUAAUGGAUGUCGAUUUUUCCUAACUCCUAGAUGACCGUGUAAUUUCCAGAAUAUCUGUAACGAUCAGCUUAUUAAUUCUAGAUAUUAACGAGGUUAUUUAGUCGAUAGCAUUUUUGAAUAGUCCCUGAGGCGGUUGCAUUAUUUACGUAGACUAUACGAACUACCAGCAUCUUUAUAAAGCUCAUCGUUUCUGGGUAACCCUUACAGAUUUUGGCUUAUCCGACUGGCGAUUUGAAGUUAUCCGUAGUACCCAUCUUAUUUCCCUAGAUUCUAGAGAGGUUACUUAAACGACAACAUCGUUGCAUAAUCCCAGGGGCAUAUUCGUUAUUUCCUACGAAUCAAGUAACGACCAGCGUCUUCAUAAAGUGCAGCAUUUCUGUAUAUCUUCAUAGAUUUGUCGUCAAUCCUAGAACGUAUUUAGGUGGCCUCCGAGCGUCAGGCGUAACGUCAUAGUGUCCGCAUAAGCGAAUAAAUUUGUUUUUACCUAA